AUCUUAGCUAUGCCUGAGGAUUGUGCAGAUGGGGAAGAUGAGGAGGAGGAAGAGGAGGACGAGCUUGCAGAGACCACACAGCACUCCGUUUUCCCCAACAGCCAGGAGCCCUCCCAGUCCUCCCACGGCAUUAUCCCAGACCAUGAAGCCAUGGAAGGGACCUCUGCUCCAAAUUUUUCAAGCCUCCCUCCUCUGUCCCGAAGGCUAUCUCAGAUAAGGCAGCGGAAAAAAAAAGACACGAGAUGAAAUGUUCUCAGAAAUCAUGGAAGUAACCCGCAAUGAAAGAGCUCAUCUGAAUGAGCGGAAGGACGUGGUAGCAAAGUACAGGAAAGAUGCCAGUGACCGUGAGGAGAGGAAGGACGAACGUGAGGAGAGGAGAGACGCUUGAGAUGAGAGGUGGCGGCAGGAAGAUCAGAGGAGGCAUGAUGCAACGCUGGGGCUGCUGCAUGAUCAAACUGACAUACUCCAGCGUCUGGUGGAGCUUCAGGAAUGGCAGCAGGAUCACAGAGUGCCACUGCAGCACCUGUAUAACCACCCUCCCCCCUCACCAUGUUCCAUAGCCUCCUCAUCCAGAUGUGGAAGAACGCGUGGGAGGAGGCUCCAUGGACCUGCCCACUGCACCCCAGUGGACAGCCCAAGCAAAAGGCUGUGUCAUUAUUUUGAAAUUUUUUUAGUGGCCUUUUCCUUCCCUCCUAUUCUCCUCCCAAACCCCACCCAGGCUACCUUGUCAGUUCUCUUCCUCUUUUUAUAAUCAAUUAAUAAAGAAUACAUGAUUUUUAAA
Gopherus flavomarginatus (Mexican gopher tortoise) is the source of this 781-nucleotide long non-coding RNA. RefSeq lists it as uncharacterized. Lineage: Eukaryota; Metazoa; Chordata; Testudines; Testudinidae. The transcript has 2 exons. The record is from RefSeq and is a predicted model, not a curated record.